GUCGGGGAAGGCACCCCCAUAAACUCUGGGAAAGGAACAAGUAAAGUCCAGGAAGAAUCAGGAGGUUUUUCAUGGGACGGGGGAAAAUUCAGCUUUGGAAGUCUGCAAAUGAAUAUCCAUACAAAAUGCUUUGGAAUGCUAUGCUUCAAUGAAACAUAGAAGAAAGAAGGGAUGGACAAGAGAAUGAUCACUUAGGCUCCUUACAGGUGUGAUACUGCAGGGUAUAGUGACAAGGAGUGCAAAGGGAGGCGACGGCACAGAGCUGGGGAAGCCAGAUCUUUAAGGACUUCAUAUGCCAGCCACACAAAGUUCUAUGCUUUCAGAUCACCAUGCAGAUGGCAGAAUUCACUAGGGAUUUGUAUUAGUUACUUUAUGUUGCUGUGAUAGAAACACUGACCAAAGCAACUUAUAAAAGGAAGAGUUUGAACUUACGGUUCCAGG
Long non-coding RNA from Nannospalax galili (Upper Galilee mountains blind mole rat), 441 nucleotides. RefSeq lists it as uncharacterized. The record is from RefSeq and is a predicted model, not a curated record. NCBI's taxonomy places the organism in Eukaryota, Metazoa, Chordata, Mammalia, Rodentia, Spalacidae. The transcript has 3 exons.